GGGAAUAGCUCAGUUGGUAGAGCAUCAGCCUUGCAAGCUGAGGGUCGCGAGUUCGAGUCUCGUUUCCC
Molecule: transfer RNA, 68 nt
Filed under: bovine gut metagenome
Rfam family: tRNA
About the family: Transfer RNA (tRNA) molecules are approximately 80 nucleotides in length. Their secondary structure includes four short double-helical elements and three loops (D, anti-codon, and T loops). Further hydrogen bonds mediate the characteristic L-shaped molecular structure. tRNAs have two regions of fundamental functional importance: the anti-codon, which is responsible for specific mRNA codon recognition, and the 3' end, to which the tRNAs corresponding amino acid is attached (by aminoacyl-tRNA synthetases). tRNAs cope with the degeneracy of the genetic code in two manners: having more than one tRNA (with a specific anti-codon) for a particular amino acid; and 'wobble' base-pairing, i.e. permitting non-standard base-pairing at the 3rd anti-codon position.
Source: RNAcentral